RNAcentral lists this long non-coding RNA (510 nucleotides) under Homo sapiens (human). Its description in RNAcentral is "HSALNT0248388". Lineage: Eukaryota; Metazoa; Chordata; Mammalia; Primates; Hominidae. The record is from RNAcentral.
UCCCCAAGUGUGUACUGUCAUUGUUGCUACAGGUGAAAUGAUUAUUGCAGUUUCGAGGGGAGAUGAUGUCACAAGAUCUCGAACCCAUAUCUCAGAACCGCCUGCCUCCUCCCACACACUCUGGCUGUCCUGACCAUCACUUCAAGCCCACCAGCCCUGCAGCAAAAAAAAUCAAACGAGUAGUUCAGAAGGCAAAGUCUGCAAGGGAAGGAAGUAUAUUGGGAGGAGUUUACCGUGAAGAAGCUGACUGCUAUGAACAGCAUGUGAAGGUGGAGGAAUUCCAGCCCAGUGAGGAGCUCCCCUGAACCAACUGGCCUCAGUGACCCUCAGAAGGAGUCAAGGUGGGUAUACGCAGCCUGGCAGCCCAUGAGGCCCAAGGGGAGGGGAGGGAGCAGCACGGAUUUAAGACCCACGUCCACUCCUGAGAAGAGAGCAGCAGGAUUUGGUGCUUCUCCUCCAAGCAGGUUUAGAAAAGCCCCUUGUGAUGGGCUCUGCCCAGUAACCAUGGGU